GAUUACGGCUACCACCCUGAAUGCGCCCGAUCUCGUCUGAUCUCGGAAGCUAAGCAGGGUCAGGCCUGGUAAGUACUUGGAUGGGUGACCGCCUGAGAAUACCAGGUGCUGUAAGCU
This 117-nucleotide ribosomal RNA is filed under the name Larimichthys crocea (large yellow croaker). Lineage: Eukaryota; Metazoa; Chordata; Actinopteri; Sciaenidae. The record is from RNAcentral.